This 484-nucleotide ribosomal RNA is filed under the name uncultured bacterium. RNAcentral's name for it is "partial 16S ribosomal RNA". It matches the Rfam family "Bacterial small subunit ribosomal RNA", at positions 30 to 507 of the family's 1533-position model. The record is from RNAcentral.
AUUGAACGCUGGCGGCAGGCCUAACACAUGCAAGUCGAGCGGAUGAAGGGAGCUUGCUCCUGGAUUCAGCGGCGGACGGGUGAGUAAUGCCUAGGAAUCUGCCUGGUAGUGGGGGAUAACGUCCGGAAACGGGCGCUAAUACCGCAUACGUCCUGAGGGAGAAAGUGGGGGAUCUUCGGACCUCACGCUAUCAGAUGAGCCUAGGUCGGAUUAGCUAGUUGGUGGGGUAAAGGCCUACCAAGGCGACGAUCCGUAACUGGUCUGAGAGGAUGAUCAGUCACACUGGAACUGAGACACGGUCCAGACUCCUACGGGAGGCGGCAGUGGGGAAUAUUGGACAAUGGGCGAAAGCCUGAUCCAGCCAUGCCGCGUGUGUGAAGAAGGUCUUCGGAUUGUAAAGCACUUUAAGUUGGGAGGGAGGGCAGUAAGUUAAUACCUUGCUGUUUUGACGUUACCAACAGAAUAAGCACCGGCUAACUUCGUG